This 321-nucleotide ribosomal RNA is filed under the name Triticum aestivum (bread wheat). RNAcentral describes it as "partial small subunit ribosomal RNA". Lineage: Eukaryota; Viridiplantae; Streptophyta; Magnoliopsida; Poales; Poaceae. The record is from RNAcentral.
AUGGACCAACCAACCAACAUGAUAUCACUGUUGAGUUUCUUCUUGUCAUGCGUAGGAACACAAUCUGAAAAUUCUAGACCAAAUGAUGUUCACGACCGCACAACCAACAAGGAGAUGGUCAACGUUUUCAAAAGAAUUGUAGCAAAAAUGAGAGGAUCAUUAUGCGGAAGCCCACACUUAGCAUGGCGAUCCACUGUCCAAAUCCCUCUUGUGGGUAGCCAACCAAAUGAAGAAUUUGCAUCUCAGAGGGCCCCAAGAUUUCCAAAUUGCAAUGGCCAAGGUUCAUUGAGGAAGCCCCACAAAGUUUAUCAUGCAAGCUGA